RNAcentral lists this ribosomal RNA (467 nucleotides) under uncultured bacterium. Its description in RNAcentral is "partial 16S ribosomal RNA". It matches the Rfam family "Bacterial small subunit ribosomal RNA", at positions 29 to 507 of the family's 1533-position model. The record is from RNAcentral.
ACGAACGCUGGCGGCGUGCUUCACACAUGCAAGUCGAACGGAAAGGCCCUGCUUUUGUGGGGUGCUCGAGUGGCGAACGGGUGAGUAACACGUGAGUAACCUGCCCUUGACUUUGGGAUAACUUCAGGAAACUGGGGCUAAUACCGGAUAGGAGCUCCUGCUGCAUGGUGGGGGUUGGAAAGUUUCGGCGGUUGGGGAUGGACUCGCGGCUUAUCAGCUUGUUGGUGGGGUAGUGGCUUACCAAGGCUUUGACGGGUAGCCGGCCUGAGAGGGUGACCGGCCACAUUGGGACUGAGAUACGGCCCAGACUCCUACGGGAGGCAGCGGUGGGGAAUAUUGCACAAUGGGCGGAAGCCUGAUGCAGCAACGCCGCGUGCGGGAUGACGGCCUUCGGGUUGUAAACCGCUUUCGCCUGUGACGAAGCGUGAGUGACGGUAAUGGGUAAAGAAGCACCGGCUAACUACGUG